Molecule: ribosomal RNA, 468 nt
Filed under: uncultured bacterium
Lineage: Bacteria
Description: partial 16S ribosomal RNA
Rfam family: Bacterial small subunit ribosomal RNA
Source: RNAcentral
GACGAACGCGGGCGGCGUGCUUAACACAGGCAAGUCGAACGGAAAGUCCCUUCUUUUGUGGGUGGCUUUAGUGUCGAACGGGUGAGUAACACGUGAGUAACCUUCCCUUAACUUUGGGAUAACUUCAGGAAACUGGGUCUAAUACCUGAUAGGAGCUCCUGCUGCAUGGUGGGGGUUGGAAAGUUUCGGCGGUUGGGGAUGGACUCGAGGCUUAUCAGCUUGUUGGUGGGGGAGUGGCUUACCAAGGCUUUGACGGGUAUCCGGCCUGAGAGGGUGACCGGCCACAUUGGGACUGAGAUACGGCCCAGACUCCUACGGGAGGCAGCAGUGGGGAAUAUUGCACAAUGGGAGGAAGCCUGAUGCAGCAACGCCGCGUGAGGGAUGACGGCCUUCGGGUUGUAAACCGCUUUCGCCUGUGACGAAGCGUGAGUGACGGUAAUGGGUAAAGAAGCACCGGCUAACUACGUG